This is a long non-coding RNA of Grus americana (Whooping crane), 6529 nucleotides long. RefSeq lists it as uncharacterized. The record is from RefSeq and is a predicted model, not a curated record. The transcript is spliced from 5 exons. NCBI's taxonomy places the organism in Eukaryota, Metazoa, Chordata, Aves, Gruiformes, Gruidae.
CAUUGAGAACUAUUGUACAAAUCAAAUUAUCUGUAAGUCUGGUUACACUAACAAAUAUCUCUUGCUGUUUUUGAUGCUACUGCUAUAUAGUAUCGAAGCUCAGAAGCUUCAGUCAUUGACCAGACAUUUUUCCAUCAUAACUCUCCUCUACUCCAAAGACUUGUGCUUUUUCUGUGCUCAUCUAUAGCAAGUGGUCUUGCUGAAAUCCUUAGGACUACUGAUUAUGCAUUAGGUUAAGCAGAUGCUACUGCUUUGUUUUGCUAUUGGAAUGUCUUAUGGACCACACAAACUGUAUUGUAUUGCCUGUGUUAAAUGGUGGGCUUGAGAUACAAGAAUGAAGAAUUAUGUAAUGUCAUACUGACAAAAACUCUGGAAAACAAACAGGUUUAUCAAGGCAACAUGAGUCCUGUGAGACUUAUAUCUAGCUCAUUUCUUACACUGUGUUGCAGACAGCAAUAGCCAAUUUAUAGGCCCAGCCAGAAAGUUCUCUGUCACAGCAGUCUCAUCAGACACAUGCCCAGAGAUGUUUGAUUUCUGCUGAGAUGUUCAAGUAAGGAAGAUAUGUGACAUAGCUGUGAGUUCUUUUUUUCCAGGUGACUUAUUUCCAGGUCUGCGAUGUAUUGAUUUUACCUAUGCGAAUGGAAAAUGUUAUGUAGAAGGUGAAGUCUCAGUGAGGGAAAGAGCCUAAUGGUGCCCUAUUUACCACAAAGCACUGUAUUCCACAUCAAGUGCUACAAUUUCACUGAAAACCAAACAGUAAAAUAAGAAUAAGGGCUUUUUCAUGAAAUGACACAUAAAUAUGAGGGGAAAUAUCUGAAACUUAAAACCAGAGGAAUGGUCUUUGAAACAGGGUUUAUGCAGGAUGCACAAUGCUGCCCUGAAGACCACUGCUAUGUAGCGUUUGGCUCAACACCCUCUGUCUCCACAGAGGCCAAACUGAUUUUCCUCAUGGAUUUUUAUUUGGGGCUUAUCAUACUCACAGAUGAGUGGUUCAUAAACAGUAAUGUCUGUUUUCUGACAACGGUAUGAUAAAAGGCUUUAUUUUUAUCUUUCCUAAACAGAUGGGGACCGAUAGGCACAGAGGUUAUUGUCUAAAGAACUAUUUCUUUCACGUUGUUUAGCUUGAAACACUUGGGAUUUAUCUUGUCUGUCUCUAACAUGGCAUAGCAUUUACAUAUUUCAGCACAGUUCACAUUGACUUCAUGUGCAGCCAUGAGUUUACAGCAGCUCUGCAACUUAGGCCACAGAUGUCUUAAGUCAGACGCUCAGAAAAUAAGGAACAUGCAAUUAGAAUGAUCUUCACCAGCAGCAUUCAGGAUGUGCUUCUUGCCAUGAAUGAACUAGGGGACCAGCGGCAAGACCCUCCUUCAUUGCCCAAUCAUUCCUACAUCAUGUUUCAUCCUUAGACAUGAUCUGUUCUGUAUGACCAGUUGUUUUUUUUUUUCCUGGGACUCAGUGGAAAAAGUCCCCAAAUAUACGGUUUUAAUGUACACAAGGGGCUGAAUUAACUUUACAAAUAUAGUCAUGAUUUUGGCUCUUCCCAUAUGUGAUGAAUUUAAUUUUACCUUUUUAAGAAUAUUCUUUCAAUACAAAUUUUAUGUGUGUAUGCGUGCAUCUGUGAAAUUUCUUCAGUUUUGCUUUCUGUGGGUUUUUUUUUGUUUUUGUUUUUUUUUUAAUAAACUGAAUUAUGUUCACAGCCGUGUGAACCAUCGGCACUGUACUGUACAUGAACUGCCUAUGAACUGCAAGCAGUUUCUACUGAAUGUGUGCAAACCACCUUUACCAAAGGCAAAUUCAGAGCAGAUUUUACCCCAAAAUAUCAGAAGGAAAUUCUGUGACUUGGAGAGUGUCCCCUAUUAAGUUUCAAGUCUCAUCAGAGUAUAACAGUGGGAGCCACAUUAAAAAAAUUAUCCCUAACAUUUCACCAAUGAAUUAACAGUGUAUUUUCCCUUGGUCUUAUUCUCUGAAAUUAUACAAAAAUCUUCACAAAAGAUAAUAAACCCAAUGUAACCCAUAUGGAAAGUCUUACCUUGACACUUUAGUGAAGUUGCAAGUGACUGGAAAAUGGGUCUAAGAAUGAAAAAUGUUGGCCUGCUUUAAUAAUGAGAAAUAUUUUCAAUUCCAUUGGAUAACUGUAGUAAUUUUUAAUUAGAGAAAAUGGGCUAUCAAGCUAAUACACUUCUAUGUGGGUCUCUUCCAUUAAGAAAUAUUAUAAAUAUAGAAAAUAGUCCAGUCGGGUAAUUCUUUCUAGCAGGAGACUAUCUCAGCUCUCCUCUCUGAUAAGAAAAUAUGGCAGUUGAUCAUGAGGUCUGAACUCUCCUAGAGAAGCUGUAUGGGGGAUAACAGCAAUGCAGCAUUCAGAAAUUGUCCCAAGAUUUUUAAUAAAGAAAGCAGACUGUUGGAAACAACAUACAAAACUAUAAUGAAAGGUUCACUCUAGGAGAAAACUGGCAAAUAUUUACACCAUAUUGCUUACUUUUCCAGUAAAGUUGUUUUUAUUGUUAAUUUAUAUUAAAAACAGGUGAUUCGUCCUAGCCUCCUUCAAAAAGUUGAUUGGAAAAGCUUGAGAAUGUAUGUUAAUAGUAGAUAGCUAUGAAUUGAAUACACACAACAAUCUGUUAAAUAAGAUGUCAGUCUAGCUAGCUGCAUUUCAGAGACUUAGCUUUACUAAUUAAAUUUCCAAGGGUAAAAGUUUUCAAAGCCAGUAUAACAAUAACAAAUAUUAUAUGCUGUUUACAUAGCAACAAUAGGACUCGGAAUACAAUACGCUUCAGUCAACCGUUUCUCUUUCUCUCACAUUUCAAAAUGAUACUAUACUGCUGCUAAGAGGAAAUAAUUUGAUCUUUAGAAAACAUACUUAUUAGCUACAGAAGAUCAAUUGGGACAUACAAAUUUUUUCCAUAUAGCAACAAUAAUAAUGCACCCCAAUCUGCCUUUUAACAGGGGAGGAUACUUGAGGUUCUAUCAAAACUGGUAUUUUAAAAGCUUCUAAGAUUGCUUUGCUAAAAUUUGCUCCAUUCAAGUUACCAAAUAAAAAGCUACACAAAUAUAAUGAAAAAAAGAUUAUCCACUCUGCCAUCAUUAGAGGAAGUCAAUUAUCAGUUGGACCAAAGGAGUUUUGAAGUAAUUAAAUUUGAGGCUGUGUGACAUUGCUGUCAUUCCAGUGAGAUCCUCCCACACUUCCCUGUCACUGAUUUAUUCAGAUGGUAAAAGCUGGAUGGGUGUAGAUUUUCUGUCGAUAUACUAAAUUAUUUUCUAUCUGAGCUGCUCUCAGAUGAUUUUACAGUGCUUUCUUGGCAACAGAUCAUAUUUUCAACCUUUCCAUUAAAAGUGUCUAUUGAAAUUUUCUUUAAAUGCAUAAAAAUAGCUAACAGCACAACUUUUUCUGUUUUUUCUUCUCCUCUGAAAAUUUUAAUAACUGAAGCAUGAGCUCUUGAGAAAAGUAAAUAAUUUAAACAAAAAAAGAGAGAGAGAAAAGAUUUUACUAAGUUUGUUCCAUCAGAUUUUUACUGAAAACAAUAUUGUUUGCCUGAAAUUCACAGGAGAGUGUUAUGAAGAGGGGGGGAAAAAAAGGUUGCGCUGCUUAUCACAAACCUUCUCCGGACCGAUCUCUAACAUAUUAAAAGAAGUAGAAGACAUCACUAACACCUUAAGAAAAUAUUUCUCAGUUACGUUGUCCAUUGAACAUGCUAUUUAGCAAUCUAUUGAAAAAUCCACUGGGCAGCCUUGGGUGACAGUGGCUAGGCUCCCUGCCCAGCCCGUGAAAAGGCAAUUUGGGCUCCCAGGUACCUCAAUUCCCAACCAUUCGAUGCCUGGAAGCGAGCUGAAAUUGCAGAUGAAACAGUCAUUGAUCCUUGUCAUGUGCUUACAGAUGUCUGGGAAAUCAAAACUGUCAACUCCUACUGAUUGCAGGUGCAUAACACAGUAAAAAACCCCAGGAAGUUUUUCCCCAAGCAUGCAGUGCAUGCCUACAAAUUCUUGCUGUUUGCUUGAAAGAAGAGGCAGUAGCACAGAACAGCUGGAAGGACACAUUUAUAGCAAAGGUACCGGUGGACUCAAGAGAGGUGAACAUCCAUUUGGAAACAAGAAGAAAAAUGUGUUGGGGCUUUUGGCCGUUUUAAGCCAGUUUCUGCUUUCAGGUUGAUUAAUAUGAAACCAUAGUGACUCAGAUGACUUCAGUGGAGUUAAUUCAGAUUUGCAGUUCUCUCCAAUUAUUAUGAACACAGAAAGCACAGAUCAUAGGUGUGGUAAGUACCUCAAGAUGUCAUGUUGACCAUUUCCCACUCAAAAUCAGGUUCUGUUACAUCAAAUCAGGGGUUUGAUUUGUUUUUAAAGCUGCAAGGUUUGAAACUGAGUAUUUUUCCAGCUAUUUCCUCCAGAAUAGCUGGUUAUUCUCUGUUCUUCCCACACAUGACACGAAAAAGAGUUUAUUUUCUUCUUUAUAACUAGUUUAUAGAUGUUUGCAGACCAAUGUCUCCUGCCACAAUGCUUUUGAUGUGUAUCUCUGGUAUUUCUCAGUACUCAUCUUUGGGCUCUCUACAGUUGAUCCAUAUGUUCCUGAAAUGCAGCAUCCAAACCCAGAAUGCUUUGGGAAGCAGCAGAUACCAAGGAAUUCUGAAGAAUUACUUAAUGUCUUACAAACAAGACUGCUUUUACUACAUUUCGCAAGUAUUUGUCUUCUCUUCUGUAACAGUGUGACACAGCUGAGUUAUGUGCAGAUUUAUAAGACUUAUGUCCUUUGUAUUUGUACAGUUAUUUGAACAGCCAUCCUCACAUCUUAUAUAUGUUCAAAGUAUUUUGAAUUGCAUUCCCCCUUUCCAGGCUGUAGCUCCAAUUACAACAUUUUAAAUUAUUAUCCUGAGCUCCUGUGUGCGUGCUGCCCCUCCAUCUUGAAGUAAUUUGUAAAUUUGAUGAGAAAGCUGAAGCACCCAAGAGAUUUGCUCCAGCUCACAGGUGAAACAAGGAUAUAAACUCUGUUUCCUGAAAUGAAGUCUCAGCCAGUGUCUGUGCAUAAUGAAUAUAGUAGGAAUUUCUGGGUGUGCUUUUCCACAGUAAUGUAAUUUCUGCCGACAAAAAAGAUUUAAAAAUUCAUUAACUUAUCAUUCAAAGUUUUCCCAUUUUGUCAUUAACAUUAAAGAAACAAAACAAAACAAUUCCCCAAACACUGCCCUUGUUUUUUAUUUUUUUUUCCUUUUUUUUGGAUAAGAUAUUGUUAGCAAGCAGUUUUCAGAGUCCUUGGGAACCUCAAAUAUCCCAGUUAGUUUUUGGUACUUCUCUGAUGUGUUUAAUUUGCACAAUUUUUUUUUUUUUUUAAUUUUGCACAAUCAUCUCUAACUAUAUGCUUUGGUCGUUAAACCAAGCCACACAUGUUAAGUAAGGCUCUCUUAUCUCUGUCUUCAUCUCCCCUUCUUGCUUGUGCUAGAGACAUAUAUUCACGCUCUACUAAUGCUUCUGCUCACUUUUUUACCUUCAGUAUGAAUAUUCUCAUGUAACCCUAGUCAUGCAUUCAGUAACGCCUUUCCUUAUUGUUUUAUGCUUUGCAAGAUUUGCAUACUACAUAUGUCGGUGUUGUGGUUUAAUUCAGCAGGCAGCUAAAACAACCACACAGACCUUCACUUACUCCCUCCCCCCUCAGUGGGGUAGGGGAGAGAAUCAGGAAAAAAAAAAAGGAAAAACUUGUGGGAUGAGAUAAAGACAGUUUAAUAAAAGAAAAGGAUGAUUAAUAAUGCUGCUGCUACUACUACUGCUACUAAUAAUGAUAAUAAUAAUAAUAAAGAACAUACAAAACAAAUGAUGCACAGCACAAUUGCUCACCAAUCGCAGACCACCAAUGCCCAGCUAGUUCCUGAGCCAUGGUCCAGCCUUUGGCCAGCUUCCCAGAAGUUAUAUGCUGAGCAUGACGUCAUAUGGUGUGGAAUAUCCCUUUGGCCAGUUUGGGUCAGCUGUCCUGGCCAUGACACCUCUGAGCUUCUUGUGCACUGCCAGUCUACUUGCUGGCAGGGCAGUAUGAGAAGUUGAAAAGUCCUUGACUUGGUGUAAACCUUGCCUAGCAACAACUAAAAACAUCAGUGUGUUAUCAACAUUAUUCUCAUCCUAAAUCCAAAACACAGCACCAUACCAGCUGCUAGGAAGAAAAUUAACUCUAUCCCAGCCGAAACCAGGACAGUCAGUGAGGCUAUUUAGACUGGGGAAAAAAAAAAGUGAAGAAAAUAUUCAGUAGCAUGGUAUGUUGCACUGGAUGGACUGCAUAUGUUCUGUUCGUGUGGCACAUAGUGGGGUUGGCUGAAACAAAGAUGUUUUCAUAUUACCCUAAAUGGAAGGCAAGUCAGGAUGGGAAGAACAUUUUUUUCCCCCUGUGUUGGGUUUGCGUGGCAAGGUUUUGGUAGCGGGGGGGCUACAGGGGUGGCUUCUGUGAGAAGCUGCCAGAAGCUUCCCCUGUGUCUGACAGAGCCAAUGCCAGCCGGCUCCAAGACGGACCAGCCGCUGGCCAGGGCCAAGCCAAUCAGCGCCUCUGUGAUAACAUAUUUAA